UGCUGGGAUUACAAGCGUGAGCCACCGCGCCUGGCGAAUAUAACUAGUUAUGUUCUAUUGUUUAUUCAUUCAUGUUCUGAUAUUAACAUGUAGUCCUAACAUUGUAGUCCUUAGGAAAUUAGAACUAAGAUUUUCAGUUUACUUGCUUGGGAGGAUCAGCGACAUUUCGGUGCAGGAGCACGGAAUACUGAUACAGAAUAAAAUACUUGGUCAGUGGAAUCUCUUCAACAAAAUAGAAGAGAAGCAGUCAUGGAGUGAAGAAAUAAAUCAUCUUUGUUUCUACUCAUCUGUCACUUAUGCAAUACAUACAAUAUGUAAAAAGGAAAAAUCCCUGUGUAAUAGCCUAAGGCAACCAGCAGCUUCCACGUCGGUUGGAUAUUAAUAAAUUUUUUUCUUUACUGUAAAAUAUA
This 410-nucleotide long non-coding RNA is filed under the name Homo sapiens (human). RNAcentral's name for it is "HSALNT0314192". The record is from RNAcentral. Lineage: Eukaryota; Metazoa; Chordata; Mammalia; Primates; Hominidae.